RNAcentral lists this ribosomal RNA (539 nucleotides) under Saicinae sp. RNAcentral describes it as "partial large subunit ribosomal RNA". Lineage: Eukaryota; Metazoa; Arthropoda; Insecta; Hemiptera; Reduviidae. The record is from RNAcentral.
AAACCCAAAGGCGAAGUGAAAGUAAAAAAGUGGAAAAUUGGGAAAAGAUUUAAAUUCUUUUCUCCAAUUUCCAUUGAGGGAAGAUGGAAAGCCUUAUAUCAAAUUAAACUGUUUCAGUUUUUUUUUUUAUAAAAAGUUUUCUCGCAUUCCCAGGGCGCUUGUUUCUCGCCUUGCGAGUCUAUGCGCACCUAGAGCGUACACGCUGAUACCCGAAAGAUGGUGAACUAUGCCUGGCCAGGACGAAGCCAGGGGAAACCCUGGUGGAGGUCCGCAGCGAUUCUGACGUGCAAAUCGAUCGUCGGAGCUGGGUAUAGGGGCGAAAGACCAAUCGAACCAUCUAGUAGCUGGUUCCCUCUGAAGUUUCCCUCAGGAUAGCUUGCGCUCAGUUAAAACGAGUCUCAUCCGGUAGAGCGAAUGAUUAGAGGCAUUGGGGUCGAAACGACCUCAACCUAUUCUCAAACUCCAAAUAGAKAWGACCCCCGSCKUUCUUAAAAAUGAAGCCGUGGGAGUUGGAUCAGAGUGCCAAGUGGGCCAAUUUU